Molecule: ribosomal RNA, 253 nt
Filed under: uncultured bacterium
Lineage: Bacteria
Description: partial 16S ribosomal RNA
Rfam family: Bacterial small subunit ribosomal RNA
Source: RNAcentral
UACGGAGGGUGCAAGCGUUAUCCGGAUUUACUGGGUUUAAAGGGUGUGUAGGCGGGCUUUUAAGUCAGUGGUGAAAUCUCCGGGCUCAACCCGGAAACUGCCAUUGAUACUAUUAGUCUUGAAUUCUGUUGAGGUAGGCGGAAUAAGUCAUGUAGCGGUGAAAUGCAUAGAUAUGACUUAGAACACCAAUUGCGAAGGCAGCUUGCUAAACAGAUAUUGACGCUGAGGCACGAAAGCGUGGGGAUCAAACAGG